Pelobates cultripes (western spadefoot toad) is the source of this 228-nucleotide non-coding RNA. The record is from the annotation of a GenBank genome assembly. NCBI's taxonomy places the organism in Eukaryota, Metazoa, Chordata, Amphibia, Anura, Pelobatidae.
GGGUGCUUGCCCUCCGCCGCCUGUCACUUUCAUCUUGCCUCUAAAGCCCUUGCCUAGUUUCUGGGGCAUUGCCUGGUGGGAAACAGCUAGGUCAUAUCCGACUUGAGCAUCUUCAAAUAUAGGGAGCCCUCUGCCAUCAGUACUAUGACCGAUGGUUUGGUCUGGUCUAUGCCUUUCGCCUUUUAAUCAGAUACCUCCCGGAGUAUAUGUGGGAUGGCUUGUUGUUAA